AUGGAAUGGCCGCCGCCCCACAGGCUCCUUCUUCUGUUCCUGCUUGCCUUCUCUUGGCGGCUUGGAGGAGGUGCAGGGAUUGGGUGCUUUGGAGUUGGAGCUGAGGAGUUGAGCAGCAAUGGAGCUUCUUUUAGUCGUAGAAGAUUGCUGCAGAUUGGUGGUGAAAACCAAGGUGCCGGGUAUCUUUUCUCACAUACACAAGCUCCAACAUCAGGACCAGUGUCUGCUCCAUCACCCUCAGCAUUCAUAUCAUCACCACCAGAAGGUGCACCAUCACCAUUUUAUUCACGACCGACACCACAGCGAUCCCCUUUACGCCAUGAUCCAUCAAUAUUCCCUCCACAUCCGCUUAAGUUUAAGCCUGCAGCUGGGGGAGCUGGGCAUGAUCAUUCGGUUCAAACUCCAUCUCAUAAGCAUUCCUGGACAACCUAUGGUUUAGUUGCAGCAGGGGUUGCUGCUUUCCUUAUCAUAUCAGCAGCUGGUGCUCUGUACUGCCGAGCUAAAAAAGUGGGGACUGUGAAACCUUGGGUGACAGGGCUUAGCGGACAAUUGCAAAAAGCUUUUGUAACAGGUGUACCUGCACUGAAAAGAUCAGAGCUGGAAUCAGCGAGCGAGGAUUUCAGCAAUAUAAUCGGUUCCACAUCUAGCUGCAUGAUGUACAAGGGAACUUUAUCGAGUGGAGUUGAAAUUGCAGUUGCGUCGAGUUUGGUAACGUCUGCAAAGGAUUGGUCCAAAGAAUGUGAAUCACAGUACAGGAAAAAGAUCACAACUUUGUCCAAAGUAAACCACAGGAAUUUUAUGAACUUGCUUGGCUACUGUGAGGAAGGGUAUCCUUUUACCAGAGCCAUGGUAUUUGAAUACGCUCCGAAUGGGACGCUUUUUGAGUAUCUGCAUGUGAGAGAAGCCGAGAAGCUGGACUGGGUGACGCGGCUGAGGAUAUGCAUGGGGAUCGCCUACUGCCUGGAGCACAUGCACCAGCUGAACCCACCCGUGGUGCCGAGGAGCUUGGACUCGACGACCAUAUACCUCACCGACGAUUUCGCCGCGAAGGUCUCAGACCUCGAAUUCCCAGACGACGGCGCCAAGGGAUCAUCACCUCGUUCAGCCACAUCAGACCUGGAAACCGCGGUGCACAGAUACGGCGUGGUGCUGCUGGAGAUACUGACGGGGAGGGUGGCCUGCUCCGGCGAGGACGGGCCGCUGGAGCUGUGGGCGUCCCGCUACCUGGACGGCGAGAUGCGGCUGGCGGAGCUGAUCGACCCCAGCAUCGGCUCCUUCUCCGAGGAGGCCGCGCGCGCGCUGUGCGAGGUGGCGAGGUCCUGCGUCGACCCGGACCCGAAGAGGAGGCCGGCGAUGGCGGAGGUGGCGGCCCGGCUGAGGGAGAUCACGGCGCUGGGACCCGACAGGGCCACCCCCAAGGUGUCGCCGCUGUGGUGGGCUGAGCUUGAGAUCAUGUCUUCUUCUGACAGCUGA
Molecule: ribosomal RNA, 1473 nt
Filed under: Triticum aestivum (bread wheat)
Lineage: Eukaryota; Viridiplantae; Streptophyta; Magnoliopsida; Poales; Poaceae
Description: partial small subunit ribosomal RNA
Source: RNAcentral